Molecule: non-coding RNA, 72 nt
Organism: Cantharellus anzutake
Lineage: Eukaryota; Fungi; Basidiomycota; Agaricomycetes; Cantharellales; Hydnaceae
Source: the annotation of a RefSeq genome assembly
AAGCUUGUAAUUCAGUGGUAGAAUGCUUCCUUGAUGAGGGAGAGGUCAGUGGUUCAAAUCCACUCAAGCUUA